RNAcentral lists this ribosomal RNA (253 nucleotides) under uncultured bacterium. Its description in RNAcentral is "partial 16S ribosomal RNA". It matches the Rfam family "Bacterial small subunit ribosomal RNA", at positions 524 to 776 of the family's 1533-position model. The record is from RNAcentral.
UACGUAGGUGGCAAGCGUUGUCCGGAAUUACUGGGUGUAAAGCGCGUGUAGGCGGGAGGCCAAGUCUGCUGUGAAAUCGCUCGGCUCAACUGGGCGGGGUCGGUGGAAACUGGUCACCUGGAGGACGGUAGAGGCGAGUGGAAUUCCCGGUGUAGUGGUGAAAUGCGUAGAGAUCGGGAGGAACACCAGUGGCGAAGGCGGCUCGCUGGGCCGGUCCUGACGCUGAGGAGCGAAAGCGUGGGGAGCGAACAGG